CCUCCUUUCUAAGGAUAUUGAUGACUGGUUCGCUAGUCAUCCGGGUUGUUGUCUAUUUAUCUCUUUAUCAUAUUAGCUAGUUCUUGGUGUUUCCUUAUGUAGACUGGGCUAGUAGCUCAGUUUGGUUAGAGCGCGCGCUUGAUAAGCGUGAGGUCGGAGGUUCAAGUCCUCCCUGGCCCACCAUUUUACUUGGGGGAUUAGCUCAGCUGGGAGAGCGCCUGAUUUGCAUUCAGGAGGUCGUCAGUUCGAUCCCGAUAUCCUCCACCAUUACUAACUAAUUGUCUUAUUUGUUCUUUGAUAAUGUAAAUAUGAAACUAAUAACUGAUCAAAUAAUUAUAUUUAAUUUUAUAAUUAUUUUUAUUUUUUUACGUACAAAAUUUUUCUCUGUACGUAAUUGCAAUCAAGCGCAAAAGGGCAUUUAGUGGAUGCCUUGGCAUCAAGAGACGAUNAAGGACGUGGCAGGCUGCGAAAAGCUAAGGGGAAGUUGUCAACACACUUUGAUCCUUAAAUUUCCGAAUGGGGAAACCC
RNAcentral lists this unclassified non-coding RNA (528 nucleotides) under uncultured Alphaproteobacteria bacterium. RNAcentral describes it as "partial 16S-23S ribosomal RNA intergenic spacer". The stretch from base 399 to 528 matches the Rfam family "Bacterial large subunit ribosomal RNA", at positions 1 to 129 of the family's 2925-position model. Lineage: Bacteria; Pseudomonadati; Pseudomonadota; Alphaproteobacteria. The record is from RNAcentral.